CAAUAGCGUAUAUUUAAGUUGUUGCAGUUAAAAAGCUCGUAGUUGGAUUUCUGCUGAUCGCUGUCGGUCUGCCGUCAGGUGUGUACUGGCAGUGUUUGGCAUCUAUUCGAGAUUGGGUGUCCACUUGAUUGUGUGCACUCGAUGUCGGAGCUAAUACUUUGAGAAAAUUAGAGUGUUCCACGCAGGCGCGUGCCUUGAAUACUGCAGCAUGGGAUAUUGGAAGGCCGAUUGAGCUUUCUUGUUGGUUCUCGGUUUGAUCGGAAUGAUUAAUAGGGAUAGUUGGGGGCAUUCGUAUUCAACUGUCAGAGGUGAAAUUCUUGGAUUUGUUGAAGACGGACUACUGCGAAAGCAUCUGCCAUGGAUGUUCUCAUUA
This 373-nucleotide ribosomal RNA is filed under the name uncultured eukaryote. RNAcentral describes it as "partial 18S ribosomal RNA". It matches the Rfam family "Eukaryotic small subunit ribosomal RNA", at positions 592 to 975 of the family's 1831-position model. The record is from RNAcentral.